Rattus norvegicus (Norway rat) is the source of this 71-nucleotide non-coding RNA. The record is from Rfam. Lineage: Eukaryota; Metazoa; Chordata; Mammalia; Rodentia; Muridae.
GGGGAUUUAGCUCAGUGGUAGAGUGCUUGCCUAGGAAGCGCAAGGCCCUGGGUUCGGUCCCCAGCUCCCCA